RNAcentral lists this ribosomal RNA (253 nucleotides) under uncultured bacterium. RNAcentral describes it as "partial 16S ribosomal RNA". It matches the Rfam family "Bacterial small subunit ribosomal RNA", at positions 524 to 776 of the family's 1533-position model. The record is from RNAcentral.
UACGUAGGGUGCAAGCGUUGUCCGGAAUUAUUGGGCGUAAAGAGCUCGUAGGCGGUCUGUCGCGUCGGCUGUGAAAACCCGGGGCUCAACCCCGGGCCUGCAGUCGAUACGGGCAGACUAGAGUGCGGUAGGGGAGACUGGAAUUCCUGGUGUAGCGGUGAAAUGCGCAGAUAUCAGGAGGAACACCAAUGGCGAAGGCAGCACUCUGGGACGGUACUGACGCUGAGACGCGAAAGCGUGGGGAGCAAACAGG